RNAcentral lists this transfer RNA (64 nucleotides) under Dipodomys ordii (Ord's kangaroo rat). It matches the Rfam family "tRNA". Rfam says of the family: Transfer RNA (tRNA) molecules are approximately 80 nucleotides in length. Their secondary structure includes four short double-helical elements and three loops (D, anti-codon, and T loops). The record is from Rfam by way of RNAcentral. Lineage: Eukaryota; Metazoa; Chordata; Mammalia; Rodentia; Heteromyidae.
GGUGGCUCAGUGGUAGAGCGCUUACCUUGCAUGCCUGAGGCCCUGAGUUCGACUCUCAGCACCA